GACGAACGCUGGCGGCGUGCCUAACACAUGCAAGUCGAACGAGAAUCUUUGAACAGAUCUUUUCGGAGUGACGUUCAAAGAGGAAAGUGGCGGACGGGCGAGUAACGCGUGAGUAACCUGCCCAUAAGAGGGGGAUAAUCCAUGGAAACGUGGACUAAUACCGCAUAUUGUAGUUAAGUUGCAUGACUUGAUUAUGAAAGAUUUAUCGCUUAUGGAUGGACUCGCGUCAGAUUAGAUAGUUGGUGAGGUAACGGCUCACCAAGUCAACGAUCUGUAGCCGAACUGAGAGGUUGAUCGGCCGCAUUGGGACUGAGACACGGCCCAGACUCCUACGGGAGGCAGCAGUGGGGAAUAUUGCGCAAUGGGGGAAACCCUGAUGCAGCGACGCCGCGUGGAGGAAGAAGGUCUUCGGAUUGUAAACUCCUGUUGUUGAGGAAGAUAAUGACG
RNAcentral lists this ribosomal RNA (447 nucleotides) under uncultured bacterium. Its description in RNAcentral is "bacterial SSU rRNA". It matches the Rfam family "Bacterial small subunit ribosomal RNA", at positions 28 to 456 of the family's 1533-position model. The record is from RNAcentral.